RNAcentral lists this ribosomal RNA (399 nucleotides) under uncultured bacterium. Its description in RNAcentral is "partial 16S ribosomal RNA". It matches the Rfam family "Bacterial small subunit ribosomal RNA", at positions 28 to 526 of the family's 1533-position model. The record is from RNAcentral.
GACGAACGCUGGCGGCGUGCUUAACACAUGCAAGUCGAACGAAGUGGGAACGGGUGAGUAAUACGUGAGUAACCUCCCUCCUUUUUGGGAUAAGCCUUGGAAACGGGGUCUAAACCGAAUAGAUGGGCUCGCGGCCUAUCCGCUUGUUGGUGGGGUGAUGGCCUACCAAGGCGGUGACGGGUAGCCGGCCUGAGAGGGGGACCGGCCAAAGUGGGACGGAGAGACGGCGCAGACGCCGACGGGAGGCAGCAGUAGGGAAUAUUCGGCAAUGGGGGGAACCCUGAACGAGCAACGCCGCGUGAGUGAGGAAGGUGUUCGGAUCGUAAAGCUCGGUUGUUAAGGAAGCGGUACUGAACCAGAAAGGGACGGCUAACUACGUGCCAGCCGCCGCGGUAAUAC